RNAcentral lists this non-coding RNA (740 nucleotides) under Pongo abelii (Sumatran orangutan). Lineage: Eukaryota; Metazoa; Chordata; Mammalia; Primates; Hominidae. The record is from RNAcentral.
CUUUGUUACAGAAUCAUCACUGGAGCUAUCCCAUGGGACCCAGUGCUGCCUGUGUCCUGGAAACCACCUGAGGGAGGUCACAGCCCUUAUGCACCUACUGCUCACUCAGCCCUGUAAUGACUGUUCUUAACCCAUCUGUGGAUUGUGAAGUUUAUCUAGUUGUUUAUAACUAUUUUUUUUUAGCAAAAUAGAAUAGAAAACAUCAAAGUGCAUACGUGCAGCAAAGACGGAGUCUCACUCUGUCGCCCAGGCUGGAGUGCAGUGGCGGGAUCUCGGCUCACUGCAAGCUCUGCCUCCCGGGUUCACGCCAUUCUCCUGCCUCAGCCUCCGAAGUAGCUGGGACUACCAGUGCCCGCCACCACGGCCGGCUAUUUUGUAUUUUUAGUAGAGAUGGGGUUUCACCGUGUUAGCCAGGACGGUCUUGAUCUCCUGACCUCGUGAUCCGCCCACCUCGGCCUCCCAAAGUGCUGGGAUUACAGGCGUGAGCCACCCUGCUCGGCCUAAUGUGUGCUUAUCUUAACCAAAAUGAGCCCUCAUUUCACUUUCCUGUUCUACUCUAAGGAAGAUAAAAUAUCAUUCCAACUUGAGGUAGAGGCAGGUGCCAGUACCCAAGACCCUGGGCUGUGCAGCAGGGGCUACUGUAAACCCAAGACCCCAAACUUCCUCCCUCUGCCAGAGCCAGGGAGCAGCUCUGACGCCCUCUAGCCCCUUCUCCGUUAGCCUCAAUUUCAAAUAAAAAA